RNAcentral lists this ribosomal RNA (209 nucleotides) under uncultured bacterium. RNAcentral describes it as "partial 16S ribosomal RNA". It matches the Rfam family "Bacterial small subunit ribosomal RNA", at positions 568 to 774 of the family's 1533-position model. The record is from RNAcentral.
UGCGUAGGCGGUUUUGUAAGUCUUGUGUGAAAUCUUCAGGCUCAACUUGAAGACUGCACGAGAAACUGCAGGGCUUGAGUGUGGGAGAGGUGAGUGGAAUUCCUGGUGUAGCGGUGAAAUGCGUAGAUAUCAGGAGGAACACCUGUGGCGAAAGCGGCUCACUGGACCACAACUGACGCUGAUGCACGAAAGCGUAGGGGAGACAAACA